GGGUGCAAUCAUACAAGGACUAAUGCACCGGAUCCUAUCAGAACUCCGCAGUUAAGCGUGCUUGGGCGAGAGUAGUACUAGAUUGGGUGACCUCUUAGGAAGUCCUCGUAUUGUAGCCC
RNAcentral lists this ribosomal RNA (119 nucleotides) under Beta vulgaris subsp. vulgaris (sugar beet). Lineage: Eukaryota; Viridiplantae; Streptophyta; Magnoliopsida; Caryophyllales; Amaranthaceae. The record is from RNAcentral.